Magnolia sinica is the source of this 1183-nucleotide long non-coding RNA. RefSeq lists it as uncharacterized. The transcript is spliced from 3 exons. Lineage: Eukaryota; Viridiplantae; Streptophyta; Magnoliopsida; Magnoliales; Magnoliaceae. The record is from RefSeq and is a predicted model, not a curated record.
CUCUCCCCAUUCUGCCAAGCGAGAGCUCUCUCUCAAUCGGGCGGCGAAGAAACCUCCAUACGUGGCACAAUCACUCUCGAUUUCCCUCUCUUAGCAUUGAUUCUGAUUGGAAGUUUGUUACUGGAUUUUAGGAAGGAAUUGGAAUUUUGUAGAGAUUAUUGUAAGUGUUGUUUGUGUAUAUCUUGUUUUGAGUUGUUCUUGUUCCAUUUUUUUCAGGAUUAUUUGGGUAAUUUUUGCUGUAUGAUUCUGUUAUCUUGAGAAAUCUAAUAUUUGAAGUAGGACUGAGUCUGAAUUUUAGAGAUUUCUUUUUUUUUUUUUUUUGAUUCUUUAGUGGGUUUGAAAAUUUUGAGAAUGGCAACUAAUUUCUGAACACAACCUGUUUGUUAGAUGACUCCUUUCUUUCUACUUCUGGUAUUAUGGUAGUAUAGCUUUUUGUUGUUGUAUUACUGAAACUUGGAGGAAAGGGUGCAUCUAUCUGUAAGGUGGUGUAAAUAGUGUGAUUGCAUGUUUUGUAUUAGUGUAAAGGGUGUCUGUAGUUUUUAGACCAUUUUUUUGUUUUUGUUUUUAUUUUUUGUGUAUGAUUUGCAAUAGAGGAUUUCCAAGACUAUUUUCUCAAGUAUAGAUGGAAAGGCAAUUUGUGGCACAUGUGCCACUGCCUGGAUCAAUAAAGAGGAAUGACCCAUGCAGGGCUAGCCACCAAACAUGGAACAUCAUUAAUAGCUUUGACCAUCAUUGGUUUAAAAUGGAGCCACACCCACAUUGGUACUUUUCUUCAUUGUAGGUGAGUUUAUGUGGUUAGUUACACUCUUUUCAGGUGAUUACGCUAUAGUACCGGGCACUAGAAAUCCUCCUUGGAUCCUAACAUUACUCCUGUUGAUGUGUGCUAGAAAAGCGAGAAGCUGCAAGGAGACUGCAGGAUUUGUGGAAUGGGAUUGAAAUACAGCCAUAGUUGUAUGUAUUGUCAUCUAGAAAAAGAAAAAGAUCAACAAAAUGAGACUAGACCAAAAUGAAACGACAACUAGCCAAACACUUUACUGCACUUUUGUGUGGCCACUUUGAAUCAGUGGGUCACCUGGUAGAGGCAUCUGUUCAAUUAUUCGUGACAGAUCACUGUAGUUGGCUUGAAAGAUGCAUUUGUUUGAUUAUGUUUUGGGGAAUUUCUUUUCUUCAUGUCUUUUCUUUC